This 28-nucleotide small RNA is filed under the name Bombyx mori (domestic silkworm). RNAcentral's name for it is "ovarian small RNA-32298". Lineage: Eukaryota; Metazoa; Arthropoda; Insecta; Lepidoptera; Bombycidae. The record is from RNAcentral.
UGAGUUCCGUACCGCGAUUGAGGAUGAA